GACGAACGCUGGCGGCGUGCUUAACACAUGCAAGUCGAACGAUGAAGCCGGAGCUUGCUCUGGUGAAUUAGUGGCGAACGGGUGAGUAACACGUGAGUAACCUGCCCUUGACUCUGGGAUAACUGCUAGAAAUGGUAGCUAAUACCGGAUACGACCCUCGGAGGCAUCUCCAGGGGGUGGAAAGAAUUUCGGUCAAGGAUGGACUCGCGGCCUAUCAGCUAGUUGGUGAGGUAACGGCUCACCAAGGCGACGACGGGUAGCCGGCCUGAGAGGGUGACCGGCCACACUGGGACUGAGACACGGCCCAGACUCCUACGGGAGGCAGCAGUGGGGAAUAUUGCACAAUGGGCGCAAGCCUGAUGCAGCAACGCCGCGUGAGGGAUGACGGCCUUCGGGUUGUAAACCUCUUUCAGCUAUGACGAAGCGCAAGUGACGGUAGUAGCAGAAGAAGGACCAGCCAACUACGUGCCAGCCGCCGCGGUAA
Molecule: ribosomal RNA, 484 nt
Filed under: uncultured bacterium
Lineage: Bacteria
Description: partial 16S ribosomal RNA
Rfam family: Bacterial small subunit ribosomal RNA
Source: RNAcentral